UACGUAGGGGGGCAAGCGUUGUCCGGAUUUAUUGGGCGUAAAGAGCGUGUAGGCGGUUAGGUAGGUCCGUUGUGAAAACUCGAGGCUCAACCUCGAGACGCCGAUGGAAACCAUCUGACUAGAGUCCGGAAGAGGAGAGUGGAAUUCCUGGUGUAGCGGUGAAAUGCGCAGAUAUCAGGAAGAACACCCGUGGCUAAGGCGGCUCUCUAGUACGGUACUGACGCUGAGACGCGAAAGCGUGGGAGCGAACAGG
RNAcentral lists this ribosomal RNA (253 nucleotides) under uncultured bacterium. Its description in RNAcentral is "partial 16S ribosomal RNA". It matches the Rfam family "Bacterial small subunit ribosomal RNA", at positions 524 to 776 of the family's 1533-position model. The record is from RNAcentral.